CCAUGGUACUGACAAUGCUAUCAUUUGUGAUUAAGUCCUUUGAUUAUUUCCUUUCUAUGCCAUGCAUUUUCAAAGACGAUUUAUGAUAGGUGGAGAGCAAAUUAAUAAUCUUCUUAGAGAUCAUAUGUUUCAUAAGAUACUGUACCCUGAUAACUCGAGACAUGCUAGGUUGACGGUAAUCUUUAACGCUCAAAAAGAAAAACAGAAUUGAAAGAAGACCGACCAUUUUGCAUUCAAAGUUUUUUGUCAUGAAAAUAUUGCCAAAACUUGGCCUUUUCCUUGGUGGGGUUUAAAUUUUAUGCUCAGCGCACUGAGAGCCAUCAGAGAGUUUUUCUUUUCUUUUCUUUUCUUUUUUUUUUUUUGAGACAGUAGUUCCUUUACAAAAUAAAAGUUCACUCUUUAAUGUCAUAGAAUCCUGGUUAUUGGAUCUUGUAAAUCCUUGGGAAAAAAUCU
This 453-nucleotide long non-coding RNA is filed under the name Pan troglodytes (chimpanzee). RNAcentral's name for it is "long non-coding RNA NONPTRT011482". The record is from RNAcentral. Lineage: Eukaryota; Metazoa; Chordata; Mammalia; Primates; Hominidae.